RNAcentral lists this ribosomal RNA (465 nucleotides) under Vreelandella stevensii. Its description in RNAcentral is "partial 16S ribosomal RNA". It matches the Rfam family "Bacterial small subunit ribosomal RNA", at positions 338 to 795 of the family's 1533-position model. The record is from RNAcentral. Lineage: Bacteria; Pseudomonadati; Pseudomonadota; Gammaproteobacteria; Oceanospirillales; Halomonadaceae.
CCUACGGGGGGCAGCAGUGGGGAAUAUUGGACAAUGGGCGAAAGCCUGAUCCAGCCAUGCCGCGUGUGUGAAGAAGGCCUUCGGGUUGUAAAGCACUUUCAGUGGGGAAGAAAGCCUUGGGGCUAAUACCCUCGAGGAAGGACAUCACCCACAGAAGAAGCACCGGCUAACUCCGUGCCAGCAGCCGCGGUAAUACGGAGGGUGCGAGCGUUAAUCGGAAUUACUGGGCGUAAAGCGCGCGUAGGCGGUCUGAUAAGCCGGUUGUGAAAGCCCCGGGCUCAACCUGGGAACGGCAUCCGGAACUGUCAGGCUAGAGUGCAGGAGAGGAAGGUAGAAUUCCCGGUGUAGCGGUGAAAUGCGUAGAGAUCGGGAGGAAUACCAGUGGCGAAGGCGGCCUUCUGGACUGACACUGACGCUGAGGUGCGAAAGCGUGGGUAGCAAACAGGAUUACAUACCCGGGUAGUC